CAAAUACUACCCCGUCAAGAAAUACUUGUCGCCAAAAUGAAUAAAAAAGAAUGUAUCUGGACGUAUUUUAGUUUUAGAUACAUUUUUUUUAUCCAUUUCGAUGACAAGUAUUUUCGGACCAAGGAAGUAUAAA
Triticum aestivum (bread wheat) is the source of this 133-nucleotide non-coding RNA. NCBI's taxonomy places the organism in Eukaryota, Viridiplantae, Streptophyta, Magnoliopsida, Poales, Poaceae. The record is from Rfam.